RNAcentral lists this ribosomal RNA (497 nucleotides) under uncultured bacterium. RNAcentral's name for it is "partial 16S ribosomal RNA". It matches the Rfam family "Bacterial small subunit ribosomal RNA", at positions 28 to 507 of the family's 1533-position model. The record is from RNAcentral.
GAUGAACGCUGGCGGCGUGCCUAAUACAUGCAAGUCGAGCGAACGGACGAGAAGCUUGCUUCUCUGAUGUUAGCGGCGGACGGGUGAGUAACACGUGGAUAACCUACCUAUAAGACUGGGAUAACUUCGGGAAACCGUAGCUAAUACCGGAUAAUAUUUUGAACCGCAUGGUUCAAAAGUGAAAGACGGUCUUGCUGUCACUUAUAGAUGGAUCCGCGCUGCAUUAGCUAGUUGGUAAGGUAACGGCUUACCAAGGCAACGAUGCAUAGCCGACCUGAGAGGGUGAUCGGCCACACUGGAACUGAGACACGGUCCAGACUCCUACGGGAGGCAGAAGUAGGGAAUCUUCCGCAAUGGGCGAAAGACUGACGGAGCAACGCCGCGUGAGUGAUGAAGGUCUUCGGAUCGUAAAACUCUGUUAUUAGGGAAGAACAUAUGUGUAAGUAACUGCGCACAUCUUGACGGUACCUAAUCAGAAAGCCACGGCUAACUACGUG